RNAcentral lists this ribosomal RNA (133 nucleotides) under Methanothermobacter thermautotrophicus str. Delta H. RNAcentral describes it as "23S Ribosomal RNA EXPANSION SEGMENTS from Methanothermobacter thermautotrophicus str. Delta H (PDB 4ADX, chain 8)". The record is from RNAcentral. Lineage: Archaea; Methanobacteriati; Methanobacteriota; Methanobacteria; Methanobacteriales; Methanobacteriaceae.
GUGGAGGUGUAAAAACCUUCGAAGUGGUCAACACAACAGACGUGGUAUAGAGCGGUAACGCAAAGAAACCCGGAGGCCAGCACCUUUGCUGGCUUCUGGGGGAGACAUAAUUUCACGAGUAGAAUUUCCUACG